UUACAUUUGAGUGAGUGGCGAACUGGUGAGUAACACGUGGGAAACCUGCCCAGAAGCGGGGGAUAACACCUGGAAACAGAUGCUAAUACCGCAUAACAACUUGGACCGCAUGGCCCGAGCUUGAAAGAUGGCUUCGGCUAUCACUUUUGGAUGUCCCGCGGCGUAUUAGCUAGAUGGUGGGGUAACGGCUCACCAUGGCAAUGAUACGUAGCCGACCUGAGAGGGUAAUCGGCCACAUUGGGACUGAGACACGGCCCAAACUCCUACGGGAGGCAGCAGUAGGGAAUUUCCACAAUGGACGAAAGUCUGAUGGAGCAACGCCGCGUGAGUGAAGAAGGGUUUCGGCUCGUAAAACUCUGUUGUUAAAGAAGAACAUAUCUGAGAGUAACUGCUCAGGUAUUGACGGUAUUUAACCAGAAAGCCAGGCUAACUACGUGCCAGCAGCCCGGUAAUACGUAGGUGGCAAGCGUUGUCCGGAUUUAUUGGGCGUAAAGCGAGCGCAGGCGGGUUUUUAAGUCUGAUGUGAAAGCCUUCGGCUCAACCGAAGAAGUGCAUCGGAAACUGGGAAACUGGAGUGCAGAAGAGGACAGUGGAACUCCAUGUGUAGCGGUGAAAUGCGUAGAUAUAUGGAAGAACACCAGUGGCGAAGGCGGCUGUCUGGUCUGUAACUGACGCUG
RNAcentral lists this ribosomal RNA (677 nucleotides) under Lactobacillus sp. LQC 1951. Its description in RNAcentral is "bacterial SSU rRNA". It matches the Rfam family "Bacterial small subunit ribosomal RNA", at positions 80 to 748 of the family's 1533-position model. The record is from RNAcentral. Lineage: Bacteria; Bacillati; Bacillota; Bacilli; Lactobacillales; Lactobacillaceae.